Molecule: ribosomal RNA, 504 nt
Filed under: uncultured bacterium
Lineage: Bacteria
Description: partial 16S ribosomal RNA
Rfam family: Bacterial small subunit ribosomal RNA
Source: RNAcentral
GACGAACGCUGGCGGCGUGCUUAACACAUGCAAGUCGAACGGUGAAGCGCUUGCCUUUUUGGUGGGUGUGGAUGAGUGGCGAACGGGUGAGUAACACGUGAGUAACCUGCCCUCUUCUUCUGGAUAACCUCAUGAAAGUGGGGCUAAUACGGGGUAUUCCGGGUCUGUCGCAUGGCGGGUUUGGGAAAGAUUGCGCCUUUGGGUGUUUUCGGUGGGGGAUGGGCUCGCGGCCUAUCAGCUUGUUGGUGGGGUGAUGGCCUACCAAGGCGGUGACGGGUAGCCGGCCUGAGAGGGUGGACGGCCAAACUGGGACUGAGACACGGCCCAGACUCCUGCGGGAGGCAGCAGUGGGGAAUAUUGCACAAUGGGCGCAAGCCUGAGGCAGCGACGCCGCGUGAGGGAUGGAGGCCUUCGGGUUGUGAACCUCUUUCGCCAGUGAAGCAGGCCUGCUUCUGUGUGGGUGGGUUGACGGUAGCUGGAUAAGAAGCGCCGGCUAACUACGUG